AAGAGAUUAUAAAUAGAGUAAGGGAGGCGUUGAAGGAGUGUACAACAGCUUCUUCUUCCUCUCAUUUUGUGAGCAUGGCUUCAACCCCUGGAAUCCUCACCUCCUGGCCAUGGAAGCCUCUUGGCAGCUUCAAGUACAUUAUUCUAAUGCCAUGGGCGAUUCAUAGCACCUAUUUGAUCACAAUGAAAGGAGAAAAGGCGAGGGACAUUCCAUACUUCCUCAUACUCCCUUUUCUUCUUGUCAGAAUGCUUCACAACCAAAUUUGGAUUUCUCUUUCACGUUAUCGAACAGCUAAAGGCGCCAAUAAAAUCGUUGACAAGGGUCUUGAGUUUCAACAAGUUGACAGAGAAGCUUCGUGGGACGAUCAGAUAUUAUUAAACGGAAUACUGUUCUACGUGGGUCAGAGGAUGAUUCAUCAAGCUUCAAAUUUACCAAUUUGGAGAACAGACGGUGUGAUUAUCACAGCUCUGCUUCAUGCGGGUCCAGUUGAGUUUCUCUACUACUGGCUCCACAGAGCUCUCCACCAUCACUUCCUCUACUCUCGCUAUCAUUCUCAUCACCAUUCAUCUAUUGUCACUGAGCCCAUAACAUCGGUGAUCCAUCCAUUUGCGGAACACGUGGCAUAUUUCUCAUUAUUCGCGAUUCCGAUGUUGACCACACUGUUGACCACAACAGCCUCCGUGGCUUCCUUAACCGGAUACGUGAGUUACAUUGAUUUCAUGAACAACAUGGGACACUGCAACUUUGAGCUUGUUCCUAAAUCACUCUUCUCCAUUUUCCCACCUCUCAAGUAUCUUGUAUACACUCCAUCGUAUGUCUUCUACGAUUAUAUAUAUGGAACGACGGAUAAAUCAUCAGAUGAAUGUACAAAUUGUCAUUGAAACGUAGUGAAGAUGUGUCGAUGUAGUUCAUCUAACUCAUCUCACUACGCUUGAUUCCCUCUAUCAUCUUCGAUUGGGAUUUGCUUCUUGGGCUUCUAGGCCUCAUUCAUCUUCUUUUACUUCGAUAUUUUUCUCUAUUCUCACUUAUUUCUUCUCUUUUAUUUUCUCUCUCCCUCGCCCUGCUUUCCUCUUGGAAGCUCACUCCUUCAAAAAUCUCAACUUGCAUUCUUGGGUUAUUCCGGCAUUUUAUUUUCAGUAUUUCGUAAAAUCGCGAAAAGAUGGUAUCAAUCGCUUCAUUGAAGAAGCUGUACUUGAAGCAGAGAAGAAAGGAGCUAAAGUGCUGAGUCUUGGUCUUUUGAAUCAGGGGGAGGAGCUGAAUAGAUAUGGAGAAAUAUACAUUGAAAAAUACCCAAAGCUCAAAGUAAAAGUGGUUGAUGGGAGCAGUUUGGCAAUUGCAGUUGUACUUAACACCAUUCCACCAGGAACAAAGCAAGUCUUGCUUGCUGCAAAAUUCUCUAAGGUUGCCAUUGCCGUCGUUUCUGCUCUCUGUGAUCGGGGCAUUCAGGUGGCAAUGCGGCUUCGAAAUAACUAUUUGGAGCUUAAACACAUGGUUCCAGAAAUAUCUAAUAAUUACUUGGUCCAGUCACCGGCAGACGAGUACAAGGUAUGGUUAGUGGGAGAUGAAUUAAGUGUGGAAGAUCAGAAAAAAGCAUCAAAAGGAACAACAUUCAUUCCGUUAUCUCCAUUUCCACCCAAAAAAAUACGCAAAGAUUGCUAUUACCACUCCACUCCAGCAAUGCUUCUUCCGGAAACAUUUCACAAUGUCCACUCCUGCGAGAACUGGCUGCCUAGAAGAGCAAUGAGCGCAUGGCGAAUCGCGGGGAUUUUACACGCGCUUGAAGGAUGGCAAGUUGACGAGUGUGGCGACCAAGUCUUCAAUGUUGAUAAAAUUUGGGAAGCAUCUCUUCGCCAUGGAUUUCUUCCACUCAAUUGAUCAAAAUUCUACCUACUUGUUUCAUCAGACGGAUUAUAAUAUUGCACUUAAAUUAAAUAAACCCAUUCUGCUAGUUAAUGUACUAUUAUAUUAUUAUGAAAAAUUAUUAAGUAUUUCGAGAGUAUAAAUGAAUAUGUAUUAGUAUAAAUGCUACGAAGAAUUAUCAAGUAUUUCAAGAGUAUAAAUGAGUUCU
Carica papaya (papaya) is the source of this 2068-nucleotide non-coding RNA. Lineage: Eukaryota; Viridiplantae; Streptophyta; Magnoliopsida; Brassicales; Caricaceae. The record is from RefSeq and is a predicted model, not a curated record.